CGACUAUGAGGCAGCAGUAGGGAAUCUGAUGCAAUGGGGGAAAGCCUGGCGCAGCCAUGCCGCGUGAAUAAUGAUGGUUUUAGAAUUGUAAAAUUUUUUCAGCGGGGACGAUAAUGGUAGUACCCGCAGAAGAACCCCCGGCUAACUUCCCAGCAGCAGCCGCGGUAAUUAGAAGGGGGCUAGCGUCGCUCGGAAUUACUGGUAGUAAAGGGGUAGUAGGCGGAUGUCUUAGUCAGAGAAAUAAGCCCAGGGCUUAACCUGGGAACUGCCUUUGAUACUGGGCAUCUUGAGUACGGGAGAGGUGAGUGGAACUCCGAGUGUAGAGGUGAAAUUAGUAGACAUUCGGAAGAACACCAGUGGCGAAGGCGACUCACUGGCCCGUUACUGACGAGGAGGCGCGAAAGCGGGGGGAGCAAACAGGAUUAGAUACCCUGGUACUCCCCGCUAUAAACGGUGAGU
This 459-nucleotide ribosomal RNA is filed under the name uncultured Caulobacter sp. RNAcentral describes it as "bacterial SSU rRNA". It matches the Rfam family "Bacterial small subunit ribosomal RNA", at positions 333 to 814 of the family's 1533-position model. Lineage: Bacteria; Pseudomonadati; Pseudomonadota; Alphaproteobacteria; Caulobacterales; Caulobacteraceae. The record is from RNAcentral.